UUGGACAGGGGAGGAUUGUUCGC
Molecule: non-coding RNA, 23 nt
Filed under: Arabidopsis thaliana (thale cress)
Lineage: Eukaryota; Viridiplantae; Streptophyta; Magnoliopsida; Brassicales; Brassicaceae
Source: RNAcentral